Molecule: ribosomal RNA, 373 nt
Filed under: Typhlodromus athiasae
Lineage: Eukaryota; Metazoa; Arthropoda; Arachnida; Mesostigmata; Phytoseiidae
Description: partial 12S ribosomal RNA
Source: RNAcentral
UGUUAUUCAGGAAAUUAAAAGAAAUUGGCGGCUUUUUUAAAAUCUUAGAGGAGUUUAUUCUAUAAAGGAUUCAACACCUCUACCUCACUUUAUUUUGUAUUUUAUUCAACUUGUAUACCUCUAUAACCUAUUAAUAAAAAAAUUUAUUAAAAAAAUCUUUUUAAAGAAAACAAUUAAGUCAAGGUGCAGUUUAUAAUCAAGAAUGAAAUAAACUAUAUCUACACAAAUAAUUUUAUCAAAGAAAUUUAUUUAAAAUAAAUUUCUUAGAUAAAUUUAAAAGUAAAUUUUAAUUAUAGAUUAAUAUUGAAUUAAAAAUUUAAGUGUACAUAUUGCCCGUCACUCUUAACACAAAGAUGGUCGUAACAUAGUAAUA